UGGUGGGCACUCUAAGGAGACUGCCGGUGACAAACGGAGGAAGGUGGGGAUGACGUCAAGUCAUCAUGGCCCUUACGGCCUGGGCUACACACGUGCUACAAUGGUCGGUACAAAGGGUUGCCAAGCCGCGAGGUGGAGCUAAUCCCAUAAAACCGAUCGUAGUCCGGAUCGCAGUCUGCAACUCGACUGCGUGAAGUCGGAAUCGCUAGUAAUCGUGAAUCAGAAUGUCACGGUGAAUACGUUCCCGGGCCUU
RNAcentral lists this ribosomal RNA (253 nucleotides) under uncultured Pseudomonas sp. Its description in RNAcentral is "partial 16S ribosomal RNA". It matches the Rfam family "Bacterial small subunit ribosomal RNA", at positions 1129 to 1382 of the family's 1533-position model. The record is from RNAcentral. Lineage: Bacteria; Pseudomonadati; Pseudomonadota; Gammaproteobacteria; Pseudomonadales; Pseudomonadaceae.